Molecule: long non-coding RNA, 631 nt
Filed under: Fukomys damarensis (Damara mole-rat)
Lineage: Eukaryota; Metazoa; Chordata; Mammalia; Rodentia; Bathyergidae
Description: lncRNA (ENSFDAG00000033351.1)
Source: RNAcentral
GUCAGUGUCUUAAAAAGAACUUUUAUAAGAAUCAUGAACAGAGAACUAUGUCAUCUCCGCCCUGACAGUCUGGUCACAACACUUGGCUUGUGUCUGAAGUGGCAGUGGGCAUGGACUACAGAACACCAGGGAAGGAGGAAGCAUCUUGCUACUGACUGCACCCCCUGCAUAGACUCUUAUACCUUCUAGAACAUUCUUUGCAGCAAGGGCUACUGCUGUGGCCCACAAUCUAUUUCGCCCACAUGCUAUUGAGGAAAUAUAUCUCUUAUGCAAUUUAAUCUGCACAGAAAACAAGUUUACAACUUCUGUCCAUCCAUCCUGUCCAUUUUUGCCCAGGUCUGGUUUCUGGGUGCUUAGGAAAUUUACAGUAUGGUUAUUUAUCAUCGUGUUCCUGAGCUUCCAAAUUCAGCUAAUUCACAUGGCAGCAGAUCCUCCUCCAGCAGACCCCCGUCACUGGAGUCUGAAAACCUCCGCAAUCACAGCGGAAGCUUCUCGGUGUCCAUUCUUGGGAAGUGUGUGCUGAGAACAUUCACAGAAGUCUGUCCUGGGCCCCACCUGCUUUAGGCUGAAUCACAGAGCUGCCUACGUAAGAAGCAGAUGGAUUGCAGCGACGACUGCCACUGAGGCGCCC